UCCCUGAUGGCUCAGUUGGUAAAGAAUCUGCCUGUAAUGCAGGAGACCCAGGUUCCAUCCCUGGGUUGGGAA
This 72-nucleotide transfer RNA is filed under the name Bos taurus (domestic cattle). It matches the Rfam family "tRNA". Rfam says of the family: Transfer RNA (tRNA) molecules are approximately 80 nucleotides in length. Their secondary structure includes four short double-helical elements and three loops (D, anti-codon, and T loops). RNAcentral also lists the same sequence under 4 other names. The record is from Rfam by way of RNAcentral. Lineage: Eukaryota; Metazoa; Chordata; Mammalia; Artiodactyla; Bovidae.